Molecule: ribosomal RNA, 303 nt
Filed under: uncultured bacterium
Lineage: Bacteria
Description: partial 16S ribosomal RNA
Rfam family: Bacterial small subunit ribosomal RNA
Source: RNAcentral
AGCAGUCGCCGCGGUAAUACGUAGGGUGCGAGCGUUAAUCGGAAUUACUGGGCGUAAAGCGUGCGCAGGCGGUUGUGUAAGACAGGUGUGAAAUCCCCGGGCUUAACCUGGGAACUGCGCUUGUGACUGCACAGCUAGAGUAUGGCAGAGGGGGGUGGAAUUCCACGUGUAGCAGUGAAAUGCGUAGAGAUGUGGAGGAACACCGAUGGCGAAGGCAGCCCCCUGGGCCAAUACUGACGCUCAUGCACGAAAGCGUGGGGAGCAAACAGGAUUAGAUACCCCCGUAGUCCCUGUCUCUUAUAC